Molecule: long non-coding RNA, 991 nt
Organism: Neopsephotus bourkii (Bourke's parrot)
Lineage: Eukaryota; Metazoa; Chordata; Aves; Psittaciformes; Psittacidae
Exons: 8
Source: RefSeq, a predicted model, not a curated record
CUGAGAGUUCUGCCCUUGUAUGGAGUUUGAAAGAAGACUUGCAGAGGAAAAAGGAAGAAUAUACAGAUUUGAAAGAGAAAUUUUCUGAUGCCAAGAAACAAAUUCAGCAAGUACAAGAAGAGGUGGGUACAAUGCAAUCUGAGGAGAAAUCACUGAGGAGCAAGGUUAAUGAACUUCAGAAAAUUAAAAACCAGCUUAGUGAAGAAUUAGAGAUCAAACAGUGCACAAUUCUGCAACUUAAAAAGGAGCAGUUGAAUAACGAGAAGCUGGAAGAAAUCUCCAAAGAGUAUGAGAAAACAUGUAAAGAUCUGUGUGCAAAGGAAAAAAUAAUUGAAGAUAUGCGAAUGACAUUAGGAGAACAAGAACAGACUCAGAUUAAACAAGAAGAAGUGAUGGAAGCCAAACUAGAAGAGAUCAACAGAUUAGUUUUGGAACUGGAACUAUGGAAGCAGAAAUUUAGAGAGCUGAAUAACCAGAGCGAUAGUGACUGGCAGCAAAAGAUGAGCAAAAAAUGAGGAGAAAAACAGAAGUGAAAAUGAGGAAAUAAUGAAGCUGCAAAACGAGCUGAAGGAAAAUGAGGCAAAGUAUCAAAGUGAUAGAAAGAAGUGGCUGGAGGAGAAAAUGACACUCAUACAUCAAGUAAAAGAAGCUGAGAUCCUUCGCAACAGGGAAAUGAGAAAAUUUGAGGAGGAAAGAGAGCACCACGUAAAGAAAGAAGCAGAAAUUGAAAGUCUUGCUGCUGCACAGCUGGCAGAAAAGGACAACAGUCUUCAAAAGUGGCGUGAAGAAAGAGAGACAUUAGUAGAAGCUUUGGAAAUACAGCUCAAGACCUUGGUUUCUAACACCACACAAAAAGAUAAGGAAAUAGCAGAACUGAAACAGGCUGCACUAAAGGAUUUGGGAAAGGGUAAGGAAACUGAUAUAGAAGAACUAAGGAAACAGCUGGCUGAGAAAGAUGAAUUUAUAAAGGAACUGAAACAGCAGGUUAACC